RNAcentral lists this long non-coding RNA (340 nucleotides) under Homo sapiens (human). RNAcentral's name for it is "HSALNT0291961". The record is from RNAcentral. Lineage: Eukaryota; Metazoa; Chordata; Mammalia; Primates; Hominidae.
CCCGCCCCACAGCUCCAGCCCCGCUCCAGAAAGAAGAAUCCAUUUGAAGUUGAAGGCAGAGCCAGUUCGACUUGUACCCCUGCCCCCUGCCCUAGAGAUCUCCAAGCGGCUCGGCCCAGGACACCGCCUGGAAACCCAGCCGCGUGGGAGAGGGCGACCCCACCUCCAACCCCCUUGCUGUGCGCCGGCCCAGCCCCUAGAAGUCAGCGGACGGCGGAGGAGGUGGCCCGGCCUCUCUUGGUGGUCCUGCGCUCUCGGGGUCUUUCCUUCCUGCUGACCCAGGGUGCUCAAGGGUCAGCCUGGUCGGACCCGCAGGGGAGUGUCCACGGACGGGCUCAGG